This 441-nucleotide ribosomal RNA is filed under the name uncultured bacterium. RNAcentral describes it as "partial 16S ribosomal RNA". It matches the Rfam family "Bacterial small subunit ribosomal RNA", at positions 338 to 795 of the family's 1533-position model. The record is from RNAcentral.
CCUACGGGAGGCAGCAGUGGGGAAUAUUGCACAAUGGGGGAAACCCUGAUGCAGCGACGCCGCGUGAGUGAAGAAGUAUUUCGGUAUGUAAAGCUCUAUCAGCAGGGACGAGACAAGACGGUACUUGACUAAGAAGCCCCGGCUAACUACGUGCCAGCAGCCGCGGUAAUACGUAGGGGGCAAGCGUUAUCCGGAAUGACUGGGGGUAAAGGGAGCGUAGACGGCUGUACAAGCCUGAAGUGAAAGGCCGGGGCUCAACCCCUGGACUGCUUUGGAAACUGUACGGCUGGAGUGCAGGAGAGGUAAGUGGAAUUCCUAGUGUAGCGGUGAAAUGCGUAGAUAUUAGGAGGAACACCAGUGGCGAAGGCGGCUUACUGGACUGUAACUGACGUUGAGGCUCGAAAGCGUGGGGAGCAAACAGGAUUAGAUACCCCUGUAGUC